GAUGAACGCUGGCGGCGUGCCUAAUACAUGCAAGUCGAGCGAACAGAUAAGGAGCUUGCUCCUUUGAAGUUAGCGGCGGACGGGUGAGUAACACGUGGGUAACCUACCUAUAAGACUGGGAUAACUUCGGGAAACCGGAGCUAAUACCGGAUAACAUUUAGAACCGCAUGGUUCUAACGUGAAAGAUGGUUUUGCUAUCACUUAUAGAUGGACCCGCGCCGUAUUAGCUAGUUGGUAAGGUAACGGCUUACCAAGGCGACGAUACGUAGCCGACCUGAGAGGGUGAUCGGCCACACUGGAACUGAGACACGGUCCAGACUCCUACGGGAGGCAGCAGUAGGGAAUCUUCCGCAAUGGGCGAAAGUCUGACGGAGCAACGCCGCGUGAGUGAUGAAGGGUUUCGGCUCGUAAAACUCUGUUAUUAGGGAAGAACAAAUGUGUAAGUAACUGUGCACAUCUUGACGGUACCUAAUCAGAAAGCCACGGCUAACUACGUGCCAGCCGCCGCCGUAA
This 513-nucleotide ribosomal RNA is filed under the name uncultured bacterium. Its description in RNAcentral is "partial 16S ribosomal RNA". It matches the Rfam family "Bacterial small subunit ribosomal RNA", at positions 28 to 523 of the family's 1533-position model. The record is from RNAcentral.